Molecule: transfer RNA, 65 nt
Filed under: Epicopeia hainesii
Lineage: Eukaryota; Metazoa; Arthropoda; Insecta; Lepidoptera; Epicopeiidae
Description: tRNA-Ala
Rfam family: tRNA
About the family: Transfer RNA (tRNA) molecules are approximately 80 nucleotides in length. Their secondary structure includes four short double-helical elements and three loops (D, anti-codon, and T loops). Further hydrogen bonds mediate the characteristic L-shaped molecular structure. tRNAs have two regions of fundamental functional importance: the anti-codon, which is responsible for specific mRNA codon recognition, and the 3' end, to which the tRNAs corresponding amino acid is attached (by aminoacyl-tRNA synthetases). tRNAs cope with the degeneracy of the genetic code in two manners: having more than one tRNA (with a specific anti-codon) for a particular amino acid; and 'wobble' base-pairing, i.e. permitting non-standard base-pairing at the 3rd anti-codon position.
Source: RNAcentral
AGGGUUAUAAUUUAUAAAAAUAUUUGAUUUGCACUCAAAAAAUAUUGAAAUUUCAAUUUACCUUA